UUAGUUGAGUUGAGUUGAGUUUUUUACUUUUUAACUAUAAACUAAUAUAAAAUAUCCCAACUUGCAGAAGUUUUAUUGCACCCACUAAAAUAAUUAUUAGAAUCAUUUAAAAUUAUAAUGCGUAGUAGUAAACGUUAAUCAUCUUUUACUAUCAAAAGGCUUUUUUUCUUAAAUGCUACAAUAACCUUGCAACAUCGAAUGGGUAG
This 206-nucleotide unclassified non-coding RNA is filed under the name Hevea brasiliensis (rubber tree). Lineage: Eukaryota; Viridiplantae; Streptophyta; Magnoliopsida; Malpighiales; Euphorbiaceae. The record is from RNAcentral.